Molecule: long non-coding RNA, 205 nt
Filed under: Mytilus galloprovincialis (Mediterranean mussel)
Lineage: Eukaryota; Metazoa; Mollusca; Bivalvia; Mytilida; Mytilidae
Source: RNAcentral
CUCAUUUUCAAAACAUGUAAAAGCACUUCUUGUAUCAUAUGAUGAAAAGGUUCUUAAUUUUAAGACGUGAUUUUUUUUACUGAAUGUUAAACUUUGGUAGAUUUCACCGGGCAUUCUAACUCUGUCUAAGUAUCACAACUAACCUUCCCAACAGUCUGUUCUUUAUCAAUUCUUUAAAAUAUGUUAAUAUGCUCUACUGUGAAUG